Molecule: non-coding RNA, 71 nt
Organism: Phrynosoma platyrhinos (Desert horned lizard)
Lineage: Eukaryota; Metazoa; Chordata; Lepidosauria; Squamata; Phrynosomatidae
Source: the annotation of a GenBank genome assembly
GCAGAUGUAGUGUAGUGGUUUAAGCAUUGGACUAUGACUCUGGAGACCAGGGUUCGAAUCCCCUCUCAGCC